CGGGUAGCUUGUUUGAUGACAAGGACGCAAGCAGUCCUAAGUAUUUCACGUUUGUUCAACCAAAAGAGGUAAGAAGCUGUGAUAUGUCCGUGCAAAUCAUGUGUUCUCCUGCUAAACUCAAAGGACAUCUGAUAAAUAUUUAAGGCCCAAUGUGUAGGCUCUGUCCGAAUGUUAUGAAGCUUCUUCCAAUCUGCUUAAUGUUUGUUAUUCGUCAAGUCUGUCAGUGAUCCUCCACCCAUUUUCUCUGCACGUG
This 253-nucleotide unclassified non-coding RNA is filed under the name Hevea brasiliensis (rubber tree). Lineage: Eukaryota; Viridiplantae; Streptophyta; Magnoliopsida; Malpighiales; Euphorbiaceae. The record is from RNAcentral.